GAGGCCUGCCUGCCCAGUGACAAACGUUCAACGGCCGCGGUAUCCUGACCGUGCAAAGGUAGCAUAAUCACUUGUUCCUUAAUUGGGGACUGGAAUGAAUGGCCUCACGAGGAUUCAACUGUCUCUUACCUCUAAUCAGUGAAAUUGACCUCCCCGUGAAGAGGCGGGGAUACAACAACAAGACGAGAAGACCCUAUGGAGCUUUAAUUUUCUGUCUUAACUACUAAAUAACUAAUCCUACUGGGAUAAAAAAAAGAGAAAUAAGUCAGUAAUUUCGGUUGGGGUGACCUCGGAGAAUAAGACAACCUCCGAAUGAUUUUAACCAAGACAAACAAGUCAAAGUAUUAAAAAUCAAAUUGACCCAAUUCAUUUGAUCAACGGACCAAGUUACCCUAGGGAUAACAGCGCAAUCCUAUUCAAGAGUCCAUAUCGACAAUUAGGGUUUACGACCUCGAUGUUGGAUCAGGACAUCCCAAUGGUGCAGCAGCUAUUAAUGGUUCGUUUGUUCAACGAUUAAAGUCCUACGUGAUCUG
This 533-nucleotide ribosomal RNA is filed under the name Microtus thomasi (Thomas's pine vole). RNAcentral's name for it is "partial 16S ribosomal RNA". It matches the Rfam family "Bacterial large subunit ribosomal RNA", at positions 1850 to 2607 of the family's 2925-position model. Lineage: Eukaryota; Metazoa; Chordata; Mammalia; Rodentia; Cricetidae. The record is from RNAcentral.